RNAcentral lists this transfer RNA (72 nucleotides) under Flavobacteriales bacterium. Its description in RNAcentral is "tRNA-Asn". It matches the Rfam family "tRNA". From Rfam's summary of the family: Transfer RNA (tRNA) molecules are approximately 80 nucleotides in length. Their secondary structure includes four short double-helical elements and three loops (D, anti-codon, and T loops). Further hydrogen bonds mediate the characteristic L-shaped molecular structure. tRNAs have two regions of fundamental functional importance: the anti-codon, which is responsible for specific mRNA codon recognition, and the 3' end, to which the tRNAs corresponding amino acid is attached (by aminoacyl-tRNA synthetases). tRNAs cope with the degeneracy of the genetic code in two manners: having more than one tRNA (with a specific anti-codon) for a particular amino acid; and 'wobble' base-pairing, i.e. permitting non-standard base-pairing at the 3rd anti-codon position. Lineage: Bacteria; Pseudomonadati; Bacteroidota; Flavobacteriia; Flavobacteriales. The record is from RNAcentral.
UCUUCAGUAGCUUAGUGGUAGAGCGAAUGGCUGUUAACUAUUAGGUCGUUGGUUCGAAUCCAACCUGAAGAG